Chelonia mydas (Green sea turtle) is the source of this 93-nucleotide long non-coding RNA. RefSeq lists it as uncharacterized. The transcript has 2 exons. NCBI's taxonomy places the organism in Eukaryota, Metazoa, Chordata, Testudines, Cheloniidae. The record is from RefSeq and is a predicted model, not a curated record.
AGAGCUUGGACGGCGGCAUGGAGCAACCCACCAUGUCUCAGCUCUUCUAAUCGAUCCAGAGAAUUAAAGGGUUGUCAGUUUACAGCCGAGGGA